GCCCUGCAGACGCCUUGCCUACUAGAUCUGAACGCCGGUCUGAGUGUCUUCAAAAGGAGGAAGCGUACACCUGAAACAGGCAUGGCUCAUUUUGUGACCUACAAGUUUGUUUCAAACAAAC
Molecule: small nucleolar RNA, 121 nt
Filed under: Echinops telfairi (small Madagascar hedgehog)
Lineage: Eukaryota; Metazoa; Chordata; Mammalia; Afrosoricida; Tenrecidae
Description: Small nucleolar RNA SNORA61 (ENSETEG00000025699.1)
Source: RNAcentral